AGGCAUCCUCAAGAUGAAAGGUGUGACCCU
This 30-nucleotide non-coding RNA is filed under the name Mus musculus (house mouse). Lineage: Eukaryota; Metazoa; Chordata; Mammalia; Rodentia; Muridae. The record is from RNAcentral.